CAUGCCGCGUGAAGGAUGAAGGCCCUCUGGGUCGUAAACUUCUUUUAUUAGGGAAGAAACCUCAAGAUGCGUCUUGAGCUGACGGUACUUAAUGAAUAAGGAUCGGCUAACUUCGUGCCAGCAGCCGCGGUAAGACGAAGGAUCCAAGCGUUGUCCGGAUUUACUGGGUUUAAAGGGUGCGUAGGCGGAAAAUUAAGUCAGUGGUGAAAGCCCGCAGCUCAACUGUGGAACUGCCAUUGAAACUGGUUCUCUUGAAUAUAGCUGAGGCAGAUGGAAUAUAACAUGUAGCGGUGAAAUGCUUAGAUAUGUUAUAGAACACCGAUUGCGAAGGCAGUCUGCUAAACUAUUAUUGACGCUGAGGCACGAAAGCGUGGGGAGCGAACAGGAUUAGAUACCCUGGUAGUCCACGCCCUAAACGUUGAUUACUCGCUGUUGGCGAUAUACUGUCAGUGGCUAAGCGAAAGCAUUAAGUAAUCCACCUGGGAAGUACGACCGCAAGGUUGAAACUCAAAGGAAUUGACGGGGGCCCGCACAAGCGGAGGAGCAUGUGGUUUAAUUCGAUGAUACGCGAGAAACCUUACCUGGGCUUAAAUGUCAGGUGACCGCUGCCGAAAGGUGGUUUCCUUUCGGGGCAACUGGCAAGGUGCUGCUUGGC
RNAcentral lists this ribosomal RNA (655 nucleotides) under uncultured bacterium. RNAcentral describes it as "bacterial SSU rRNA". It matches the Rfam family "Bacterial small subunit ribosomal RNA", at positions 393 to 1049 of the family's 1533-position model. The record is from RNAcentral.